This 494-nucleotide ribosomal RNA is filed under the name uncultured bacterium. Its description in RNAcentral is "partial 16S ribosomal RNA". It matches the Rfam family "Bacterial small subunit ribosomal RNA", at positions 28 to 504 of the family's 1533-position model. The record is from RNAcentral.
GAUGAACGCUGGCGGCGUGCCUAAUACAUGCAAGUCGAGCGAACGGACGAGAAGCUUGCUUCUCUGAUGUUAGCGGCGGACGGGUGAGUAACACGUGGAUAACCUACCUAUAAGACUGGGAUAACUUCGGGAAACCGGAGCUAAUACCGGAUAAUAUUUUGAACCGCAUGGUUCAAAAGUGAAAGACGGUCUUGCUGUCACUUAUAGAUGGAUCCGCGCUGCAUUAGCUAGUUGGUAAGGUAACGGCUUACCAAGGCAACGAUGCAUAGCCGACCCGAGAGGGUGAUCGGCCACACGGGAACGGAGACACGGUCCAGACUCCUACGGGAGGCAGCAGUAGGGAAUCUUCCGCAAUGGGCGAAAGCCUGACGGAGCAACGCCGCGUGAGUGAUGAAGGUCUUCGGAUCGUAAAACUCUGUUAUUAGGGAAGAACAUAUGUGUAAGAAACUGUGCACAUCUUGACGGUACCUAAUCAGAAAGCCACGGCUAACUAC